CAAUAGCGUAUAUUAAAGUUGUUGCAGUUAAAAAGCUCGUAGUUGGAUUUGUGGUGUAUGCAGGCGGCCCGGCACUUUGUGCUGGUGUUUGCUUGCGUCGCCAUCCUUGGGUGGAUCCUGUGUGGCAUUAAGUUGUCGUGCAGGGGAUGCCCAUCGUUUACUGUGAAAAAUUAGAGUGUUCAAAGCAGGCUUACGCCGUUGAAUAUAUUAGCAUGGAAUAAUAAGAUAGGACCUUGGUACUAUUUUGUUGGUUUGCGCACCAAGGUAAUGAUUAAUAGGGACAGUUGGGGGUGCUAGUAUUGACCGGCCAGAGGUGAAAUUCUUGGAUUCGGUCAAGACUAACUUAUGCGAAAGCAUUCACCAAGGAUGUCUUCUUUAAUCAAGAACGAAAGUUGGGGGAUCGAAGAUGAUCAGAUACCGU
Molecule: ribosomal RNA, 421 nt
Filed under: uncultured eukaryote
Lineage: Eukaryota
Description: bacterial SSU rRNA
Rfam family: Eukaryotic small subunit ribosomal RNA
Source: RNAcentral